RNAcentral lists this ribosomal RNA (253 nucleotides) under uncultured bacterium. RNAcentral describes it as "partial 16S ribosomal RNA". It matches the Rfam family "Bacterial small subunit ribosomal RNA", at positions 524 to 776 of the family's 1533-position model. The record is from RNAcentral.
UACGUAGGGGGCAAGCGUUGUCCGGAAUCAUUGGGCGUAAAGCGCGUGUAGGCGGCUCGAUAAGUCUGCUGUGAAAGUCCAGGGCUCAACCCUGGGAUGCCGGUGGAUACUGUCGAGCUCGAGUCCGGAAGAGGCGAGUGGAAUUCCUGGUGUAGCGGUGAAAUGCGCAGAUAUCAGGAGGAACACCAAUGGCGAAGGCAGCUCGCUGGGACGUGACUGACGCUGAGACGCGAAAGCCAGGGGAGCAAACAGG